RNAcentral lists this non-coding RNA (130 nucleotides) under Ditylum brightwellii. Lineage: Eukaryota; Bacillariophyta; Thalassiosirophyceae; Lithodesmiales; Lithodesmiaceae. The record is from RNAcentral.
UGUGUAAUUAAAGAAAAAUGAAAAAAGGGAACGACAGAGAGAGAGAAAGAGAGAGUCAGAAUCAAAAAUUUGUAUACUUAUUAAAAAAAAUACGUUCUUCCUUUACCGCAUUGCUGUGGUUUUUUAUUUU